Molecule: ribosomal RNA, 250 nt
Filed under: uncultured Clostridia bacterium
Lineage: Bacteria; Bacillati; Bacillota; Clostridia
Description: partial 16S ribosomal RNA
Rfam family: Bacterial small subunit ribosomal RNA
Source: RNAcentral
UCUAGCGGCGGACGGGUGAGUAACGCGUGAGCAACCUGCCUUUAUCAGGGGGAUAACGCAUCGAAAGAUGUGCUAAUACCGCGUAAGACCACAGCCUCACAUGGGGCAGGGGUCAAAGGAGCAAUCCGGAUAAAGAUGGGCUCGCGUCCGAUUAGCUAGUUGGUGAGAUAACAGCCCACCAAGGCGACGAUCGGUAGCCGACCUGAGAGGGUGAUCGGCCACAUUGGAACUGAGAGACGGCCCAAACUCC